UUUUGUAGAACGGGCCAACGAGUUACGUUAAGUAGCAAGGUUAAGCACUUAAGGUGCGGAGCCGUAGCGAAAGCGAGUUUUAACUGAGCGUUCAGUUACUUGACGUAGACCCGAAACCGGGCGACCUACCCAUGAGCAGGAUGAAGCGAAAGUAAAAUUUCGUGGAGGUCCGAACCCACGAGCGUUGAAAAGCUCGGGGAUGACUUGUGGGUAGCGGUGAAAUUCCAAUCGAGCCCGGAGAUAGCUGGUUCUCCCCGAAAUAGCUUUAGGGCUAGCCUCAAGGUGAGAGAUACGGAGGUAGAGCACUGAAUGUCCUAGGGGGUAUUGCACCUACCGAAGACUAUCAAACUCCGAAUGCCGUCAUCUUAUACUUGGGAGUCAGACUGUGGGUGAUAAGAUUCAUAGUCGAAAGGGCAACAGCCCAGAUCGUCAGCUAAGGUCCCUAAAUGUAAGUUAAGUGGUAAAGGAUGUGGGAUUGCACAGACAACCAGGAUGUUGGCUUAGAAGCAGCCACUCAUUCAAAGAGUGCGUAAUAGCUCACUGGUCGAGUGAUCCUGCGCCGAAGAUUUCCGGGGCUAAAACUUACUACCGAAGCUACGGCAUCAGUAAUGAUGGGUAGGGGAGCUUCCCAUACGGGUUGAAGCAUGACCGUAAGGACAUGUGGACAGUAUGGGAGUGAGAAUGUUGGCAUGAGUAGCGAGAUGUGGGUGAGAAUCCCACAGGCCGUAAACCCAAGGUUUCCAGGGGAAGGUUCGUCCGCCCUGGGUUAGUCGGGACCUAAGCUGAGGCCGAAAGGCGUAGGUGAUGGACAACAGGUUGAUAUUCCUGUACUACCGAUAACCGUUUGAGAGAAGGGAUGACACAGUAGGAUAAGCUAAGCACACUGUUGGUUAUGUGUGCCCAAGCAUUGAGGCAGUCAAAGUAGGCAAAUCCGCUUUGAUAAUGCUGGGGUGUGAUGGGGAGCGAAAUUUAGUAGCGAAGUAGCUGAUUUCACACUGUCAAGAAAAGUCUCUAUCGAGGUUAAAGGUACCCGUACCGCAAACCGACACAGGUGGGUGAGGAGAGUAUCCUAAGGCCAGCGAGAGAACUGUUGUUAAGGAACUCGGCAAAAUGACCCCGUAACUUAGGGAGAAGGGGUGCCACCAUCAGGUGGCCGCAGAGAAUAGGCCCAAGCGACUGUUUACCAAAAACAUAGGUUUCUGCUAAGUCGCAAGACGAUGUAUAGGAGCUGACGCCUGCCCGGUGCUGGAAGGUUAAGGGGAUCUGUUAGAGCAAUCGAAGCAGUGAACUUAAGCCCCAGUAAACGGCGGCCGUAACUAUAACGGUCCUAAGGUAGCGAAAUUCCUUGUCGGGUAAGUUCCGACCCGCACGAAAGGCGUAACGAUUUGGGCACUGUCUCAACAACAGACUCGGUGAAAUUGUAAUUCCGGUGAAGAUGCCGGAUACCUGCGACAGGACGGAAAGACCCCAUGGAGCUUUACUGUAGCUUGACAUUGGGUCUUGGUACUACAUGUACAGGAUAGGUGGGAGGCUUUGAAACCAGGACGACAGUUUUGGCGGAGCCAUCCUUGGGAUACCACCCUUGUAGUACUGGGACUCUAACCAUAGGCCAUGAAUCUGGUCUUGGGACACUGUCAGGUGGGCAGUUUGACUGGGGCGGUCGCCUCCCAAAAGGUAACGGAGGCGC
RNAcentral lists this ribosomal RNA (1687 nucleotides) under Clostridioides difficile. RNAcentral's name for it is "bacterial LSU rRNA". It matches the Rfam family "Bacterial large subunit ribosomal RNA", at positions 606 to 2309 of the family's 2925-position model. The record is from RNAcentral. Lineage: Bacteria; Bacillati; Bacillota; Clostridia; Peptostreptococcales; Peptostreptococcaceae.